Sceloporus undulatus (fence lizard) is the source of this 195-nucleotide small nuclear RNA. RefSeq annotates it as U2 spliceosomal RNA. The transcript has a single exon. Lineage: Eukaryota; Metazoa; Chordata; Lepidosauria; Squamata; Phrynosomatidae. The record is from RefSeq and is a predicted model, not a curated record.
ACUGUUGUUUAUUGAUCUUUUGCUCUUAGAUCAAGCAUAGCAUCUGUCCUUAUCAGUUCAAUACCUGAUAUGUCCACUACUUGUGGUCUGUUUGUGAAACUGACUUUUGGCAAUAGGAAAUGGAAUAACGGCUUGCUUAAUCCAUUCUGUGCAUCAGCCUGGAAUUAUACUAUGUGCAGGAGUGGCGCACUUCCC